RNAcentral lists this transfer RNA (73 nucleotides) under Muraenolepis orangiensis (Patagonian moray cod). It matches the Rfam family "tRNA". From Rfam's summary of the family: Transfer RNA (tRNA) molecules are approximately 80 nucleotides in length. Their secondary structure includes four short double-helical elements and three loops (D, anti-codon, and T loops). Lineage: Eukaryota; Metazoa; Chordata; Actinopteri; Gadiformes; Muraenolepididae. The record is from Rfam by way of RNAcentral.
CACUAAGAAGCUUAUUGGGUCAAGCAUCAGCCUUUUAAGCUGAAAAUUGGUGGCUCCCAACCACCCUUUGUGG